UUCAGAUUUUGUUCAACAUCUUCUCUGAGUCCAUCCUCACAGCUACCCUGUCAAGGUGGUCAGCGUGGAUAUAUCCUUUUUCUGGCCAGUGAAAAAGAAGACAUUUAUGCAGCCAAAAAACACAUGAAAAAAUGCUCACCAAGACAGAAUUUCUAACAAGAUGUCCUGAAGCGCUGGUCCAGCAUCAUGCUUUGAGAACCACUGUAAUGAAGUGUAUAGAAGAGUUUCACAUAAUCUGUGAAACAAUAUGUAAAACAUUGUGUAUCUGCAUAUACACUGUUAUGGGGACAUAAUCCAGUAUUUCAUCAUAUUUCCAAAGAGAUUCUGCAGUCUUCUAUGUAUAACGUCAUCUGCAUGUCUUCGGCAAACAGAGACAAUUUAACUUCUAAAACCUGCCAACAAAGAAAAGCCAAGAACAGAUGGCUUCACGGAUGAAAUCUACCAAGCAUUUAAAGAAUUAGUAGCAAUUCUCAAACUCUUUCAGGAAAUUGAAGAGGAGGGAGAACACUUCCAAACUCAUUUUAGGAGUCCUGGAUUACUCUCAAACCAAAGCCAGAUAAGGACACUACAAGACAAGAAAAUCACAGGCCAAUAUUCCUGAUGAACAUAGAUGCAAAAUUUCUCAACAAAAUACCAGCAAACCCAAUUCAGAAGCACAUUAAAACAAUCACAUACCAUGACCAACAGACAUUUUUUUUUCCCUGAGAUGCAAGGAUAUUUCACAUAUGUAAAUCAAUAAAUGUAAUAGAACACAGUAACAGAAUUAAGGAUAAAAAUUUUAUGAUUAUCUCAAUAGAUUCAAAAAAAUCAUUCAACAAAAUUCAACAUUCAUGAUUAAAAAUUCUCAAUAAAUUACUAACAUAAGGCAUAUACCUUAAUAUAGUAAAGGCCAUAUACAACAAGUCAAUAGCUAACAUUAUAAUCAAUGGUGAAAAGCCUAAAAUAUUCCAUCUAAGACCACCAACAAAACAAAGGUGCCCACCUUCAUCACUUCUGUUCAACAUAGUACAGGAAGUCUUAGCCAGACUAACCAGAUAAGAAAAAGAAAUAAAAGAUAUGCAUGUGAAAAAGAAAAAAAAAAAGAUAAAAGUGGUUUAGAAAUGAAAGGUGAGUUAGGUCGGAAAAAUUGGCAUGUGGAGUAAUUCAUUUAUGUUUUCUAAGCCAAAGUUCUCUACUUGGAUAUUUAGGAAUGACUACCGACUUCGUUUAUUUGCUGUAAACACUGAAUGACAGAAUACCUAAGGAGCCACAAAUAAACAUCAACAAGUAAAAAAGAAAACUAGCAUAGCAUUUUUAACACAGAAUAUAAACAUGAAGAUUCAGAAGUGAGAUAUUUUCCGGGAUAUCAAAGCCAUUUGUAAAUUUCAAAUUAUUAUUUUUAGGCACUGUAUCUCCAAAGCAAGUCAUCUGAUUUCAAAGGAUUGCCAACACAGUCCCAAAUUUGUAUCUAAUUUUAUUGUUGAAAAUGAAAAUCAUGUGAAUAUUUUUAAUUGCUGCUUAGAUCAAGUAAUUUCCCGUACAUUAUCUAUUUUUACAAAAAAAAUCAUUAGAAGGUUAGAAUGCAUAAAAAUGUAGUAAGGCAGUGAGAAUUUGAGAAUUUAGACUACCCUUUGGUCAUAAAUCUGCAUGCACUUUCUGUUUGUUUUGUAGGGGGUGUUAAUGAGGAGAAUUUUUUUAAAUUAAGGAUUUGGAAAUCUCUUCCCGAAUUAGUAAGGAAUAGAAGCACUGACAGCUUGGAAUAGAAAAAAGAAGAUAAAGUGGUU
This is a long non-coding RNA of Pongo pygmaeus (Bornean orangutan), 1763 nucleotides long. RefSeq lists it as uncharacterized. The transcript is spliced from 3 exons. NCBI's taxonomy places the organism in Eukaryota, Metazoa, Chordata, Mammalia, Primates, Hominidae. The record is from RefSeq and is a predicted model, not a curated record.